UUCGAGCGAAAGCGAGAAAGCGUUGCCGCAGGCAACGACCCGAAGGGCGAAACGCGCAGCGCUGAGUCAUCCUUCCCCCACCACCA
Molecule: small RNA, 86 nt
Filed under: Salmonella enterica
Lineage: Bacteria; Pseudomonadati; Pseudomonadota; Gammaproteobacteria; Enterobacterales; Enterobacteriaceae
Also listed under: 2 other names
Description: partial RtT sRNA
Rfam family: RtT RNA
About the family: This family represents a bacterial cis-regulatory element known as RtT RNA.
Source: RNAcentral